GACAGAGGGUGCAAACGUUGUUCGGAAUUACUGGGCGUAAAGCGCGUGUAGGCAGCUCGGUAAGUCGGGUGUGAAAGCCCUGGGCUCAACCUAGGAAGUGCACUCGAAACUUCCGAGCUGGAGUGCUGGAGAGGAAGGCGGAAUUCUCGGUGUAGAGGUGAAAUUCGUAGAUAUCGAGAGGAACACCGGUGGCGAAGGCGGCCUUCUGGACAGUAACUGACGCUGAGACGCGAAAGCGUGGGGAGCAAACAGG
This 253-nucleotide ribosomal RNA is filed under the name uncultured bacterium. RNAcentral's name for it is "partial 16S ribosomal RNA". It matches the Rfam family "Bacterial small subunit ribosomal RNA", at positions 524 to 776 of the family's 1533-position model. The record is from RNAcentral.